GUGUUGAGCGUCUUGUACGUCACGGCUGACGGUGAGUACGCGUGGGAACGUACCUUUUGGUUCGGAACAACACAGGGAAACUUGUGCUAAUACCGGAUAAGCCCUUACGGGGAAAGAUUUAUCGCCGAAAGAUCGGCCCGCGUCUGAUUAGCUAGUUGGUGAGGUAAUGGCUCACCAAGGCGACGAUCANUAGCUGGUCUGAGAGGAUGAUCAGCCACAUUGGGACUGAGACACGGCC
RNAcentral lists this ribosomal RNA (238 nucleotides) under Bradyrhizobium sp. GN17. RNAcentral's name for it is "partial 16S ribosomal RNA". The stretch from base 31 to 238 matches the Rfam family "Bacterial small subunit ribosomal RNA", at positions 105 to 331 of the family's 1533-position model. The record is from RNAcentral. Lineage: Bacteria; Pseudomonadati; Pseudomonadota; Alphaproteobacteria; Hyphomicrobiales; Nitrobacteraceae.